RNAcentral lists this ribosomal RNA (490 nucleotides) under uncultured bacterium. Its description in RNAcentral is "partial 16S ribosomal RNA". It matches the Rfam family "Bacterial small subunit ribosomal RNA", at positions 30 to 507 of the family's 1533-position model. The record is from RNAcentral.
AUUGAACGCUGGCGGCAGGCUUAACACAUGCAAGUCGAGCGGGAGCACAGGGGUGCUUGCUCCCUGGGUGACGAGAGGCGGACGGGUGUGCCAUGUCUGGGAAACUGCCUGAUGGAGGGGGAUAACUAUUGGAAACGGUAGCUAAUACCGCAUAACGUCGCAAGACCAAAGAGGGGGAGCUUCUGGCCUCUUGCCAUCAGAUGUGCCCAGAUGGCAUGAGCUAGUAGGUGGGGUAAUGGGUCACCUAGGCGACGAUCCCUAGCUGGUCUGAGAGGAUGACCAGCCACACUGGAACUGAGACACGGUCCAGACUCCUACGGGAGGCAGCACUGGGGACUAUUGGACAAUGGGCGCAAGCCUGAUGCAGCCAUGCCGCGUGUGUGAAGAAGGCCUUCGGGUUGUAAAGCACUUUCAGUGCGGAGGAAGGUGGUGAGCUUAAUACGCUCAUCCAUUGACGUUACUCGCAGAAGAAGCACCGGCUAACUCCGUG